CACACACACACACACACACACACACACACACAGAUCUUCACCCUUUGCAAACACGUGACCACGGCCGCGUGACAACGCCACGACAGACGGAAGAAUCACCGGAAGCGCAAGCUAAACAGUGUAGUAGAUGAGCGGAAAAAGCCAUUAGUUUUAAUCAGUUUAAAAUAAAUAUCAUUAAAUAAACUGUAAUUAUACUAAUACUGUCUU
Molecule: long non-coding RNA, 207 nt
Organism: Etheostoma cragini (Arkansas darter)
Lineage: Eukaryota; Metazoa; Chordata; Actinopteri; Perciformes; Percidae
Exons: 3
Source: RefSeq, a predicted model, not a curated record